This is a non-coding RNA of Myotis davidii, 75 nucleotides long. Lineage: Eukaryota; Metazoa; Chordata; Mammalia; Chiroptera; Vespertilionidae. The record is from Rfam.
GGCAGUUCUCAGGUGACGCACCCCGGAAUCAGGCUCCCUCCUCUCUGGUUCUGGGUGUGUCACCUGAGAACCGCA